RNAcentral lists this ribosomal RNA (253 nucleotides) under uncultured bacterium. RNAcentral's name for it is "partial 16S ribosomal RNA". It matches the Rfam family "Bacterial small subunit ribosomal RNA", at positions 524 to 776 of the family's 1533-position model. The record is from RNAcentral.
UACGGAGGGCGCAAGCGUUGUUCGGAAUCACUGGGUGUAAAGCGCGUGUAGGCGGCUUGGCAAGUCGGGUGUGAAAUCCCGAGGCUCAACCUCGGAACUGCACUCGAAACUGCUUGGCUAGAGUCCCGGAGAGGGUGGCGGAAUUCCCGGUGUAGGGGUGAAAUCCGUAGAUAUCGGGAGGAACACCAGUGGCGAAGGCGGCCACCUGGACGGUGACUGACGCUGAGACGCGAAAGCGUGGGGAGCAAACAGG